RNAcentral lists this transfer RNA (68 nucleotides) under Mesocricetus auratus (golden hamster). It matches the Rfam family "tRNA". From Rfam's summary of the family: Transfer RNA (tRNA) molecules are approximately 80 nucleotides in length. Their secondary structure includes four short double-helical elements and three loops (D, anti-codon, and T loops). Further hydrogen bonds mediate the characteristic L-shaped molecular structure. tRNAs have two regions of fundamental functional importance: the anti-codon, which is responsible for specific mRNA codon recognition, and the 3' end, to which the tRNAs corresponding amino acid is attached (by aminoacyl-tRNA synthetases). tRNAs cope with the degeneracy of the genetic code in two manners: having more than one tRNA (with a specific anti-codon) for a particular amino acid; and 'wobble' base-pairing, i.e. permitting non-standard base-pairing at the 3rd anti-codon position. The record is from Rfam by way of RNAcentral. Lineage: Eukaryota; Metazoa; Chordata; Mammalia; Rodentia; Cricetidae.
GAGAAGUGGUUGAGUGGUUAAGAACACUGGUUUCUUCCAGAAGACCUGGGUUCAAUUCCCAGCACUCA